CCCUUGUACCGGUACAGCAAGCGACUUUCCAUGAUGGUUGUACCGGUACAGCACCAAUCUUGUACCGGUACAACAGAGUAAAAAUCCUGCAAUUUCGCAGAUUUUCACACAGAAUGCUGCCCUCGCGUCGCACGGAGUCCGUUUCGCGUCUAUUUGACGCCAACGCGACUCGGGCUUGUCUCGACACUCUCCAGAGCUGUCGACAAGCCCUCACUGUCAGAACCUGGGGUCUCACA
Molecule: long non-coding RNA, 236 nt
Filed under: Ananas comosus (pineapple)
Lineage: Eukaryota; Viridiplantae; Streptophyta; Magnoliopsida; Poales; Bromeliaceae
Description: long non-coding RNA (ACOM_LNC035143)
Source: RNAcentral